AUGAACGCUAGCUACAGGCUUCACACAUGCCAGUCGCGGGGAAACGACAUCGAAAGCUUGCUUUUGAUGGGCGUCGACCGGCGCACGGGUGAGUAACGCGUAUCCAACCUGCCCAUCACUUGGGAAUAACCUUGCGAAAGUAAGACUAAUACCCAAUGACAUCCCACGAAGACAUCUGAAUGGGAUUAAAGAUUUAUCGGUGAUGGAUGGGGAUGCGUCUGAUUAGCUUGUUGGCGGGGUAACGGCCCACCAAGGCAACGAUCAGUAGGGGUUCUGAGAGGAAGGUCCCCCACAUUGGAACUGAGACACGGUCCAAACUCCUACGGGAGGCAGCAGUGAGGAAUAUUGGUCAAUGGGCGAGAGCCUGAACCAGCCAAGUAGCGUGCAGGAUGACGGCCCUAUGGGUUGUAAACUGCUUUUAUAAGGGAAUAAAGUGGGUCUCGUGAGACUUUUUGCAUGUACCUUAUGAAUAAGGACCGGCUAAUUCCGUG
RNAcentral lists this ribosomal RNA (491 nucleotides) under uncultured bacterium. Its description in RNAcentral is "partial 16S ribosomal RNA". It matches the Rfam family "Bacterial small subunit ribosomal RNA", at positions 29 to 507 of the family's 1533-position model. The record is from RNAcentral.